AUUGAACGCUGGCGGCAUGCCUUACACAUGCAAGUCGAACGGCAGCACGGGAGCAAUCCUGGUGGCGAGUGGCGAACGGGUGAGUAAUAUAUCGGAACGUGCCCAGUCGUGGGGAUAACGUAGCGAAAGCUACGCUAAUACCGCAUACGAUCUAUGGAUGAAAGCGGGGGAUCGCAAGACCUCGCGCGAUUGGAGCGGCCGAUAUCAGAUUAGGUAGUUGGUGAGGUAAAGGCUCACCAAGCCGACGAUCUGUAGCUGGUCUGAGAGGACGACCAGCCACACUGGGACUGAGACACGGCCCAGACUCCUACGGGAGGCAGCAGUGGGGAAUUUUUGGACAAUGGGCGCAAGCCUGAUCCAGCAAUGCCGCGUGCAGGAUGAAGGCCU
Molecule: ribosomal RNA, 387 nt
Filed under: uncultured bacterium
Lineage: Bacteria
Description: bacterial SSU rRNA
Rfam family: Bacterial small subunit ribosomal RNA
Source: RNAcentral